This 259-nucleotide long non-coding RNA is filed under the name Manihot esculenta (cassava). RNAcentral describes it as "long non-coding RNA (MESC_LNC010487)". Lineage: Eukaryota; Viridiplantae; Streptophyta; Magnoliopsida; Malpighiales; Euphorbiaceae. The record is from RNAcentral.
GAUCUUGGUCAAGCACGCAAGCCCAUUACAGCCGUCGAUGUUCAUAGCACAGGAGCCACAGAUUCCUUCGCGGCAAGAUCGGCGGAAAGUGAGAGAAGGGUCGAUCUCGUUCUUGAUCUUGAUGAGGGCAUCCAAGACCAUGGGUCCACAUUCUUUCAGGUCGAUCUGGUAGUCCUGAAGUUGAGGUUUUGACGGGUUGUCAGGGUUCCACCGGUAGAUUUGGAAGGUCUUGAGGUUCGAACUGGAGCUGGCCUUUGGC